AUUGAACGCUGGCGGCAGGCCUAACACAUGCAAGUCGAAUGGUAACAGGAAACAGCUUGCUGUUUCGCUGACGAGUGGCGGACGGGUGAGUAAUGUCUGGGAAACUGCCUGAUGGAGGGGGAUAACUACUGGAAACGGUAGCUAAUACCGCAUAACGUCGCAAGACCAAAGAGGGGGACCUUCGGGCCUCUUGCCAUCAGAUGUGCCCAGAUGGGAUUAGCUAGUAGGUGGGGUAACGGCUGACCUAGGCGACGAUCCCUAGCUGGUCUGAGAGGAUGACCAGCCACACUGGAGCUGGGGCACGGUCCAGACUCCUACGGGAGGCAGCAGUGGGGAAUAUUGCACAAUGGGCGCAAGCCUGCUGCAGCCGUGCCGCGUGUAUGAAGAAGGCCUUCGGGUUGUAAAGUACUUUCAGCGGGGAGGAAGGGAGUAAGGUUAAUACCUUUGCUCAUUGACGUUACCCGCAGAAGAAGCACCGGCUAACUCCGUG
This 490-nucleotide ribosomal RNA is filed under the name uncultured bacterium. RNAcentral's name for it is "partial 16S ribosomal RNA". It matches the Rfam family "Bacterial small subunit ribosomal RNA", at positions 30 to 507 of the family's 1533-position model. The record is from RNAcentral.